UUUCCGUAGGUGAACCUGCGGAAGGAUCAUUAAACAUCGUUUCCUUACUUUGUGGUGACUCAGUGGUGUCAUUGCCUAAAAUCAAAGGAUUUUAAAGAAUUARAAGCAGUUAAUGGUGAUUCGUUUGUUAUUGCAUGGUUACGGUAUAAUGAUAUACCUUGAAGAAUAAAGAAUAAGGGUGGUGGCGCACCUAUUCUACAAGCAGAACUGGUUAAUAAGAUCGAUUCCGAGUGACGAUCGUGGGGCAAAAUAAAUCCAGCUUGGGGAACUGGUUAACCAUGGCAUUAUACGAGCAAGAUGAUUCCGAACGAGAUUCUUUUAACAUAGCAAUGAACACACGCUGUUUCAUGCGCAACCAAUCUGCCCUAUAAAAUUGGAGAGUGAUUAGAUUGCUCACCCACCGUCGUUUAGAUGGUUGACAUUAAAACGCUCAUUGGAGUGAACUGGUAGUCUUCCGAGCUAAAAUGGUAAUGGCUAGUCUCGGUAAGGUCUGACUAUCGGUUCGGCUACGGCCAGCUCAAUGUAGUAUCCGCUAUUACCGAAACAUACACUACAGUGGUUCGAUAGAGUUCCACACUCACUGCCUCUGCACCUUCGGGUGAACAGUCCGUAGUGCUUAGCGCCCCGUCAAAAGGGAAGAAGCUUUGGUUUAUUA
Molecule: ribosomal RNA, 655 nt
Filed under: Gyrodactylus salaris (gyrodactylosis fluke)
Lineage: Eukaryota; Metazoa; Platyhelminthes; Monogenea; Gyrodactylidea; Gyrodactylidae
Source: RNAcentral